Long non-coding RNA from Ornithodoros turicata, 323 nucleotides. RefSeq lists it as uncharacterized. The transcript has 2 exons. The record is from RefSeq and is a predicted model, not a curated record. Lineage: Eukaryota; Metazoa; Arthropoda; Arachnida; Ixodida; Argasidae.
UCCAGUACACCUUCGGUAUGCCGUUUCGGUUUCCAGAACGCUACACAGACCUGGAUCGGGAGCAGAGUAUGCUAAUGAUGAAACUUUUCACGCACUUCAUCAACACAGGAAGGCCAAGCUCACCAAAUGGCACCGAAUGGCCCACUUACACCAAGGAAGAUCCUCAUCAUGCAAGACUGCAUACAGGCAACGCCAGCGUCGGUACUGAGUUCCAUGGAAACGGGUGUCGUCUUUUCCGCGAAGCUUACGUUUCACUCGGCCUCAUAAAACCAUGAGAAGCACAGACGAGCGAAAGUCGUGAAAUAAAAUUUACUUGUGUGUCA